Molecule: non-coding RNA, 91 nt
Organism: Paxillus rubicundulus Ve08.2h10
Lineage: Eukaryota; Fungi; Basidiomycota; Agaricomycetes; Boletales; Paxillaceae
Source: Rfam
GCCCGCUUAGCUCAGUGGUAGAGCGCGUCACUUGUAACAGAUCGUGAUCUGAGGUAUGAUGAGGUCGGUUGUUCAAUCCAGCCAGUGGGCA